RNAcentral lists this ribosomal RNA (1199 nucleotides) under human gut metagenome. Its description in RNAcentral is "bacterial LSU rRNA". It matches the Rfam family "Bacterial large subunit ribosomal RNA", at positions 980 to 2260 of the family's 2925-position model. The record is from RNAcentral.
GGAGUCAGACAGUGUGAGAUAAGUUUCAUUGUCGAAAGGGAAACAGCCCAGACCCACAGCUAAGGUCCCAAAGUAUCGUUAAGUGGAAAAGGAUGUGGAACUGCCCAGACAACCAGGAUGUUGGCUCAGAAGCAGCCAUACAUUCAAAGAGUGCGUAAUAGCUCACUGGUCGAGUGGUUCUGCGCCGAAAAUUUAACGGGGCUAAACGAUACACCGAAGCUUGGGAUGCAGCAUUGGCUGCAUGGUAGGAGAGCGUUCUGUACGGGGUGAAGUCAUAGCGGAAGCGGUGGUGGACUGUACAGAAGAGAGAAUGCCGGAAUGAGUAGCGAGAUUUAUGUGAGAAUCAUAAAGGCCGAAAGACUAAGGAUUUAGAAGGAAGGUUCGUCCGCUUCUAGUUAGCCGGGAGCUAAGGCGAGGCCGAAAGGCGUAGUCGAUGCACAUACGGUGGAGAUUCCGUAGCCGCCUCUUAAUUUAAGCAAAGGGACACUUUCAAAGGGAAUGACCCGGGCGUUGGUAGCCCCGGGCGAAAGGGACCGAAAUUAGAGUAGGGAAGCAUUUCUGGAGGAAGGCGAGAAAAGCUUUGCGGAUAGAGAGAGGCGCCCGUACCGCAAACCGACACAGGUAGUCAGGAAGAGGAUUCUAAGGCCAACGGGAGAAGGGUAGUUAAGGAACUCGGCAAAUUGACCCCGUAACUUCGGAAUAAGGGGUGCUCCUGAAAAGGAGCCGCAGUGAAUAGGCCCAGGCGACUGUUUAUCAAAAACACAGCUCUCUGCUAAAUCGAAAGAUGAAGUAUAGGGGGUGACACCUGCCCGGUGCUGGAAGGUUAAGAGGAAGGGUGCAAGCUCUGAAUUGAAGCCCCAGUAAACGGCGGCCGUAACUAUAACGGUCCUAAGGUAGCGAAAUUCCUUGUCGGGUAAGUUCCGACCCGCACGAAUGGUGUAACGAUCUGGGCACUGUCUCAACUACCCACCCGGCGAAAUUGUAGUACCGGUGAAGAUGCCGGUUACCCGCGGCAAGACGGAAAGACCCCAUGGAGCUUUACUGUAGCCUGAUAUUGGGUUUCGGUAUUCUAUGUACAGGAUAGGCGGGAGACUGGGAACCGAUGGCGUCAGCUGUCGGGGAGUCACCCUUGGGAUACCGCUCUUAGAGUACUGGAAUUCUAACCUGCGGCCGUGAAUCCGGCCGGGGGACAUUGUUAG